UCUCCAGCACUUCUGCACCUUGGGAGCCUGCCCAAGUCUUCAACUGCUUGGCCAGAGCUCCCUGCCUACCGAGGAUGCUUGAGGGAGCUGCUGAUCAAUGGGGCCCCCGUCAACGUGACUGCUUCUGUACAAAUCCAGGGAGCAGUGGGGAUGCACGGGUGCCCCUCAGGAACCCUAGCACUUUCCAAGCAGGGAAAGGCACUGACCCAGAGGCAGGCCAAGCCCAGUGUCUCCCCGCUACUUUGGCAUUGAGGGUUCCCAGACCUUGGGGUUUGUCUACACUUUCUAUGAAUAACAAGUCNUUUCUGGUUUACACUGUCUUUUUAGAGGAAAAGGACCCUCGCAGAACAGACAUUAUAUUUAUACUUUGUCCCUCCUGCCCAACAACUGUCAGUACUGAGAUCUGAAAUUAAAGUGACUUGUUU
Molecule: non-coding RNA, 425 nt
Organism: Mus caroli (Ryukyu mouse)
Lineage: Eukaryota; Metazoa; Chordata; Mammalia; Rodentia; Muridae
Source: RefSeq, a predicted model, not a curated record